This 744-nucleotide long non-coding RNA is filed under the name Brassica napus (rape). RNAcentral's name for it is "long non-coding RNA (BNAP_LNC006363)". The record is from RNAcentral. Lineage: Eukaryota; Viridiplantae; Streptophyta; Magnoliopsida; Brassicales; Brassicaceae.
CAGUUAUAGUCUUUUGUCUUAAGACUGAGCCGCAUGCUCUUAUUUGCCAUUCUCUAACGCCAUUCUUCAUACAUGCACCACCAACCCAUAUUCUCGGUCCAUUAGAGGAUGACAUAAGUUUCUUUUAGAGGCAGCACUGGACAAUGUUUUCAGUUAUAGUCCUUGUCUUAGGACUUUCUCAAACUGUACCAUUCAAAUAACUGAAAACAGAAAAGUCUUUGGUCUUUAAGACUUGUAAGCCGUGGGUAAUAAAUCUUUGUCUUUGUCUAAGACAUGUGUAAGCCGUGAGUAAUAAAUCUUUGUAAACCGUGGGUAAGGAAUCUGUUUUCAUUUAUAGUCUUUUGUCUUAAGACUGAGCCGCAUGCUCUUAUUUUCCAUCCCCUAACGCCCUUCUUUAAACAUGCACCACAAACCCAUAUUCUCGGUCUAUUAGGGGAUGGCAUAAGUUUCGUUUAGAGGCAGCAAGGGACAAUAUUUUCAGUUAUAGUCCUUGUCUUAGGACUUUCUCAAACUGUACCAUUCAAAUAACUGAAAACAGAAAAGUCUUUGGUAGUUAAGACUUGUAAGCCGUGGGUAAGAAAUCUGUUUUCAGUUAUAGUCUUUUGUCUUAAGACUUAGCCGCAUGCUCUUAUUUUCCAUCCUCUAACGCCUUUCUUUAUACAUGCACCACCAACCCAUAUUCUCGGUCCAUUAGGGGAUGACAUAAGUUUCUUUUAGAGGCAGCAAGGGACAAUGUUUUCAGUU